This 240-nucleotide unclassified non-coding RNA is filed under the name soil metagenome. RNAcentral describes it as "partial contains 5.8S ribosomal RNA, internal transcribed spacer 2, and large subunit ribosomal RNA". The record is from RNAcentral.
AACGAGGCCGACCUGCGGCUGAGUUACCUGCGGAAGGAUCAUUACAGAGAAAUUGCCCUUUGGGGUAGAUCUCCCACCCUAUGUUUACAUUACGUUUGUUGCUUUGGCAGGCCCGUCUUUUGACCACUGGCUUCGGCUGGUCAGUGUCUGCCAGAGGACCCCUAAACUCUUGAUAUUUUGUUGUCUGAGUAAAUAUAUAAUAGUUAAAACUUUCAACAAUGGAUCUCAGAUCGGAAGAGC